CUUCCUACGGGGCGCAGCAGUAGGGAAUCUUCCACAAUGGACGAAAGUCUGAUGGAGCAACGCCGCGUGAGUGAAGAAGGGUUUCGGCUCGUAAAGCCCUUUUUGUAGUGAAGAAAAAUAGAGGUAGUAAAAGGCCUUUAUUUGACGGUAAUUUCUUAGAAAGUCACGGCUAACUACGUGCCAGCAGCCGCGGUAAUACGUAGGUGGCAAGCGUUGUCCGGAUUUAUUGGGCGUAAA
RNAcentral lists this ribosomal RNA (237 nucleotides) under uncultured bacterium. RNAcentral's name for it is "partial 16S ribosomal RNA". It matches the Rfam family "Bacterial small subunit ribosomal RNA", at positions 335 to 564 of the family's 1533-position model. The record is from RNAcentral.